ACUCGUUGAAAAAGUUGGCACUUGCGUUUGGAGGCAGUGGCUGAGACGACUAUGUAACAGUGUCGAAACUCGCAGGGCAUGAGAGAUCAAGAAAAUAUAGCAGAAAGAGCCUUUGCAGUUAUUGUUGUCAGCGUGAAGAACAAUUGUGACGAAGAUGGGGUAAUGGGAGAAGGAAAUAGGAUAGCAAAGGGUUUAGGAGCGAUGUACCGGUGCAAGGGCACAAAGAACGAAGAGAUGGGAGCAAGCUUUCGAGACGAUGUAUCGGCAUGAGAGCACAAGCAACGAAGAGAUGCAAGGAAGGUAGAAAGCAUAUAAAGAAAUGGGUCAGCAUUCAUUGUAUGGGUCUAUCACCGACCAAUAGGAAGGAUGCAGAUGGACCCCACCACCAUAGCCCAAAUUGUUGAGGUUUCGCCACGUGGAAUUAGAAUCAUGAGGAUUAAUAGAUUUUACUAGUGUAGGAACCCGCGCGAUGCGGCGGAUAGAAUUUUUUAAUAAAAAUAUAUAUAUUAAAUAAAUAAAUAUAAUCAUAAAUAUAAAUAUAAAGAAAAAAUAAAAGAAUAUAAUCAAGUCAAAGCUGUAAAAUAUGAAAUUAUCAAUUUUCAAU
Molecule: long non-coding RNA, 604 nt
Filed under: Ananas comosus (pineapple)
Lineage: Eukaryota; Viridiplantae; Streptophyta; Magnoliopsida; Poales; Bromeliaceae
Description: long non-coding RNA (ACOM_LNC004903)
Source: RNAcentral